AUGUUAUGGUCGCAGCGCUCUCUGCCAUAUGUGUUGGUGGAACGCUUAGGAGUCUCGCUCCGCAGUAAACGCAAACCGUGCCAGGCUGGAAGACCGCGGCCCGCGCGGCGAGGUGCAGGGCUGCGGCGCCGGGGCCGGGGGCCGGGGGCCGGGGGGCCGGGGGGCCGGGGGCGCUCCCCGGAACAAAGGCACGAUCCUGAGGCCGUUUCGCGGGCCGUCCCCCCUCCCCCCACCCCAGCGCCAGCUUUGUCUCCUCGCGCGUGCGAGGCUGAGACUCGGAGGAGCCCCCGAGCCGGAGGGGCCGGCGUGGGAAGCUGCCCCGGCCGCCGCUGCGGUUUCCUGCAGCGCGACGAGCCCUUAGAGGAAGUGGGAGGGCCGCGCGGGGCUACCUGCAGCCCGCCGAGCGGGGCUGGACCUGAACCCCGCGCCCCCGGGGCCGUCGUGCGCCGGGGCCCAGGCGGCUGGGAGGGCGGGGGGCUCGGCGCCCCGGCUGCGCGGAGGAGCUGGGGUCCCGGCCCAGCUGGGCCUCGCGCGCGCAGCCCCGCCGCCGGGCCCUCCCCCCGCGCCCCCCGCCGCCCCCGCCCCCGCCUCCGCCCCCGCCGCCCCCGCGCGCCGGCACUGGCUCGCGCAGGCCUCCUGCCCGGCCGUGGGCGGGGGGGCGAAGCCCGCGGGAGGCGCCCCGCCCCGCCCCGCCCCGCCCCUGCCCCGCCGCGCGCAGUCUCUCCCCCUGCCCGCCGGGGCGGUGGCGGUGGCGCUGCUGCUGCCGCGCGGCCUGCGAGGCCGGCACUCCCCUCCGCCCGGCUCCCUGCUCCUCCUUUCUCUCCCUCCCUCCCUCCCCCUCCCCGCCCCUCCCGCCCCUCCCGCCCCUCGCAGGCUCGCCAGCCCGAGCGAAGGUGGCGCGGCGGCGCGGGACGCAGCCUCGGCCCCCGCCGCGGCCCCGCGAGCCCGAGAGGACCCCCGCGCCCCGCCCCCCCGCCCCCCGCGGCCCCCCGCGCCGCCCGGGGGCGCCCCCGCCGCGGCCGCCCGGAGGAAGCGCGAGCCGGGGAGCGAGGGGCCGGCGGCGGGAAGCCGGGAGAGGGAGGAGAGCGCGGCUCGAGGGCCCGCCCGCCGCGGCGCCGAGAGGGACGGACGGAGGGACGGACGGACGGACGGACGGCGGCCGGGGACGGGAGGGGCGGGGCGGGGAGGGGGCCGCCCGCGAGCUCGCCCGGCCCCUCGGCGGCGGCCCCGGGGCGGCGGCGGGCGGAGGGCGCGGCGGGCGCUGUCGAGACAAUAACCCGGAGCCGGAGGCCUAGCGCGGCCGGGACCCCGCGCCCCGCGCCCCCCGCGCCCCCCUGCCCCCCCCGGCCC
This 1350-nucleotide long non-coding RNA is filed under the name Canis lupus dingo (dingo). Its description in RNAcentral is "lncRNA (ENSCAFG00020021717.1)". Lineage: Eukaryota; Metazoa; Chordata; Mammalia; Carnivora; Canidae. The record is from RNAcentral.